This 253-nucleotide ribosomal RNA is filed under the name uncultured bacterium. Its description in RNAcentral is "partial 16S ribosomal RNA". It matches the Rfam family "Bacterial small subunit ribosomal RNA", at positions 524 to 776 of the family's 1533-position model. The record is from RNAcentral.
GACGUAGGUGGCGAGCGUUGUUCGGAAUCACUGGACAUAAAGCGCACGUAGGCGGCCAAGUCAGUCAGGUGUGAAAUACCUCGGCUCAACCGAGGAACUGCGCCUGAUACUGCUUGGCUUGAGGUCCGGAGGGGAGAGUGGAAUUCCCGGUGGAGCGGUGAAAUGCGUAGAGAUCGGGAAGAACGCCGGCGGCGAAAGCGACUCUCUGGUCGGAAUCUGACGCUGAGGUGCGAAAGCUAGGGGAGCAAACGGG